RNAcentral lists this ribosomal RNA (498 nucleotides) under uncultured bacterium. RNAcentral's name for it is "partial 16S ribosomal RNA". It matches the Rfam family "Bacterial small subunit ribosomal RNA", at positions 28 to 507 of the family's 1533-position model. The record is from RNAcentral.
GACGAACGCUGGCGGCGUGCCUAAUACAUGCAAGUCGAGCGGACGAAUCGAAAGCUUGCUUUUGAUUCGUUAGCGGCGGACGGGUGAGUAACACGUGGGCAACCUGCCCUGUAGACGGGGAUAACACCGAGAAAUCGGUGCUAAUACCGGAUAACACGAAAUGUCGCAUGACGUUUCGUUGAAAGACGGCGCAAGCUGUCGCUACAGGAUGGGCCCGCGGCGCAUUAGCUAGUUGGCGAGGUAACGGCUCACCAAGGCGACGAUGCGUAGCCGACCUGAGAGGGUGAUAGGCCACACUGGGACUGAGACACGGCCCAGACUCCUACGGGAGGCAGCAGUAGGGAAUCUUCCGCAAUGGACGAAAGUCUGACGGAGCAACGCCGCGUGAGAGAAGAAGGCCUUCGGGUCGUAAAGCUCUGUUGUUAGGGAAGAACAAGUAACGCAGUAACUGGCGUUACCGUGACGGUACCUAACGAGAAAGCCACGGCUAACUACGUG